RNAcentral lists this ribosomal RNA (492 nucleotides) under uncultured bacterium. RNAcentral describes it as "bacterial SSU rRNA". It matches the Rfam family "Bacterial small subunit ribosomal RNA", at positions 28 to 480 of the family's 1533-position model. The record is from RNAcentral.
GACGAACGCUGGCGGCGUGCCUAAUACAUGCAAGUCGAACGCACUCUCGUUUAGAUUGAAGGAGCUUGCUCCUGAUUGAUAAACAUUUGAGUGAGUGGCGGACGGGUGAGUAACACGUGGGUAACCUGCCCUAAAGUGGGGGAUAACAUUUGGAAACAGAUGCUAAUACCGCAUAAAACCUAACACCGCAUGGUGUAGGGUUGAAAGAUGGUUUCGGCUAUCACUUUAGGAUGGACCCGCGGUGCAUUAGUUAGUUGGUGAGGUAAAGGCUCACCAAGACCGUGAUGCAUAGCCGACCUGAGAGGGUAAUCGGCCACACUGGGACUGAGACACGGCCCAGACUCCUACGGGAGGCAGCAGUAGGGAAUCUUCCACAAUGGACGAAAGUCUGAUGGAGCAACGCCGCGUGAGUGAAGAAGUUUCGGAUCGUAAAACUCUAGUUGUUGGAGAAGAAUGUAUCUGAUAGUAACUGAUCAGGUAGUGACGGUAUCC